AUGAAUGAUAAUUCUGUAAAUUGGCGCUUUACGGGUUUCUAUGGUUAUCCUGGAUGGAAUGAAAAAUAUUUAUCUUGGGUUGAUCUUCGCCAACUACAUUCCCGUGCUGAUUAUCCUUGGGUAGUCAUUGCAGAUUUUAAUGAAAUUAUCUACUCUAACGAAAAAUAAGGCGGCAAUGCUAGACCAAAUGAAAUGAUGCAGGAAUUUUGUAAGUGCUUGAGUGAUUGUCUGGAGGAUAUGGGCUGUGUUGGUGAUCUAUUCACUUGGAGAAGGGGGGACAUCCGUGAAAUUGUUGAUCAAGCUAUCUGUAAUUUAGAUUGGGCAAAUAAAUUUCCGCGUGCUGUGAUUAUUAAUGGCGAGCAUGUACACUCAGACCAUCAUCCUUUAAUUCUUGACACAAAUUAUUUUGAUAGUAACUUGUUCAAUCGUCGGAAUGGUCGUGUCAGACAAUUUGAAGCAAAAUGGCUGAAAGAAGAUACUAUUGAGGAGAUUGUGAAAAUUGCUUGGGAAAAAGCAAAGUUGGCGGGUAUUAGUCCCUCUCUCGCAGCACGGACUAGAGCAGUGCAUGAUGAUUUACAUUCUUGGGACCGAAUUACUUUGAAAGGACCAAAGAGGAGAAUAAAUAAGUUAAAAAAGAACUAG
RNAcentral lists this ribosomal RNA (642 nucleotides) under Triticum aestivum (bread wheat). RNAcentral's name for it is "partial small subunit ribosomal RNA". The record is from RNAcentral. Lineage: Eukaryota; Viridiplantae; Streptophyta; Magnoliopsida; Poales; Poaceae.